CGGCGCGUGCGACGGCAAGAUCCACGCCGCCAACAAGCUGGCGUCGCGCCAUGGCCGCGUCUGGAUCUGCGAGGUGUGCGAGCAGGCCCCGGCCUCCUUCACCUGCAAGGCCGACGCCGCCUCCCUCUGCGCCGCCUGCGACCGCGACAUCCACUCCGCCAACCCCCUCGCCCGCCGCCACGAGCGCGUCCCCGUGGUCCCCUUCUACGACUCGGCCGCCAAGUCGUCGCCCUCCGCCGAGUGCUCCGAGGAGGAGGCGGAGGCCGCUUCCUGGCUCCUACCCGACCCGAACAGCAAGGUGGAGGAGGAAUCCGGGUCGCCCGAGUACAUGUCGGCCGAGUAC
Molecule: long non-coding RNA, 343 nt
Filed under: Salvia miltiorrhiza (redroot sage)
Lineage: Eukaryota; Viridiplantae; Streptophyta; Magnoliopsida; Lamiales; Lamiaceae
Description: long non-coding RNA (SMIL_LNC000421)
Source: RNAcentral